RNAcentral lists this non-coding RNA (184 nucleotides) under Escherichia coli. RNAcentral describes it as "6S RNA". It matches the Rfam family "6S / SsrS RNA". From Rfam's summary of the family: E. coli 6S RNA was the first non coding RNA to be sequenced, but its function was unknown until recently. Lineage: Bacteria; Pseudomonadati; Pseudomonadota; Gammaproteobacteria; Enterobacterales; Enterobacteriaceae. The record is from RNAcentral.
AUUUCUCUGAGAUGUUCGCAAGCGGGCCAGUCCCCUGAGCCGAUAUUUCAUACCACAAGAAUGUGGCGCUCCGCGGUUGGUGAGCAUGCUCGGUCCGUCCGAGAAGCCUUAAAACUGCGACGACGCAUUCACCUUGAACCAAGGGUUCAAGGGUUACAGCCUGCGGCGGCAUCUCGGAGAUUCC